Long non-coding RNA from Haliotis rubra (blacklip abalone), 129 nucleotides. RefSeq lists it as uncharacterized. NCBI's taxonomy places the organism in Eukaryota, Metazoa, Mollusca, Gastropoda, Lepetellida, Haliotidae. The transcript has 3 exons. The record is from RefSeq and is a predicted model, not a curated record.
UCGUUCUGUAUCAAGCCUACCAAAGAAAACUUUCCCACUGUGCAGAAAAACCCAAGAAAAGCCCACAUUAUUCGUGGAAUUAGCAACAUAAACAUAUCACCUCGCUACUGAAACAGUAAAACCGGCAAC